RNAcentral lists this ribosomal RNA (620 nucleotides) under Streptococcus thoraltensis. RNAcentral describes it as "bacterial SSU rRNA". It matches the Rfam family "Bacterial small subunit ribosomal RNA", at positions 70 to 677 of the family's 1533-position model. Lineage: Bacteria; Bacillati; Bacillota; Bacilli; Lactobacillales; Streptococcaceae. The record is from RNAcentral.
UAGCUUGCUACAAUUGGUAUAAAUGAGUCGCGAACGGGUGAGUAACGCGUAGGUAACCUACCUUUAAGCGGGGGAUAACUAUUGGAAACGAUAGCUAAUACCGCAUAAAAGGAGCUAACCCAUGUUAGCUUUUUAAAAGGUGCAACAGCAUCACUUAAAGAUGGACCUGCGUUGUAUUAGCUAGUUGGUAAGGUAACGGCUUACCAAGGCUUCGAUACAUAGCCGACCUGAGAGGGUGAUCGGCCACACUGGGACUGAGACACGGCCCAGACUCCUACGGGAGGCAGCAGUAGGGAAUCUUCGGCAAUGGGGGGAACCCUGACCGAGCAACGCCGCGUGAGUGAAGAAGGUUUUCGGAUCGUAAAGCUCUGUUAUAAGCGAAGAAUAGGAGUAAGAGUGGAAAGUUUACUCUAUGACGGUAGCUUAUCAGAAAGGGACGGCUAACUACGUGCCAGCAGCCGCGGUAAUACGUAGGUCCCGAGCGUUGUCCGGAUUUAUUGGGCGUAAAGCGAGCGCAGGUGGUUUAAUAAGUCUGAAGUUAAAGGCAGUGGCUCAACCAUUGUACGCUUUGGAAACUGUUAAACUUGAGUGCAGAAGGGGAGAGUGGAAUUCCAUGUGUA